Molecule: ribosomal RNA, 918 nt
Filed under: uncultured bacterium
Lineage: Bacteria
Description: bacterial SSU rRNA
Rfam family: Bacterial small subunit ribosomal RNA
Source: RNAcentral
AGAGUUUGAUCCUGGCUCAGGACGAACGCUGGCGGCGUGCCUAAUACAUGCAAGUAGAGCGCUGAAGAAAGGAGCUUGCUUCUUUUGGAUGAGUUGCGAACGGGUGAGUAACGCGUAGGUAACCUGCCUUGUAGCGGGGGAUAACUAUUGGAAACGAUAGCUAAUACCGCAUAACAGCUUUUGACACAUGUUAGAAGCUUGAAAGAUGCAAUUGCAUCACUACGAGAUGGACCUGCGUUGUAUUAGCUAGUAGGUAGGGUAACGGCCUACCUAGGCGACGAUACAUAGCCGACCUGAGAGGGUGAUCGGCCACACUGGGACUGAGACACGGCCCAGACUCCUACGGGAGGCAGCAGUAGGGAAUCUUCGGCAAUGGGGGCAACCCUGACCGAGCAACGCCGCGUGAGUGAAGAAGGUUUUCGGAUCGUAAAGCUCUGUUGUAAGAGAAGAACGUGUGUGAGAGUGGAAAGUUCACACAGUGACGGUAACUUACCAGAAAGGGACGGCUAACUACGUGCCAGCAGCCGCGGUAAUACGUAGGUCCCGAGCGUUGUCCGGAUUUAUUGGGCGUAAAGCGAGCGCAGGCGGUUUAAUAAGUCUGAAGUUAAAGGCAGUGGCUUAACCAUUGUUCGCUUUGGAAACUGUUAAACUUGGGUGUAGAAGGGGAGAGUGGAAUUCCAUGUGUAGCGGUGAAAUGCGUAGAUAUAUGGAGGAACACCGGUGGCGAAAGCGGCUCUCUGGUCUGUAACUGACGCUGAGCUCGAAAGCGUGGGGAGCAAACAGGAUUAGAUACCCUGUAGUCCACGCCGUAACGAUGAGUGCUAGUGUUAGCCCUUUCCGGGGCUUAGUGCCGCAGCUAACGCAUUAAGCCUCCGCCUGGAGUACGACCGCAAGGUUGAAACUCAAAGGAAUUGACGG